GUAACGGCGAGUGAAGCGGCAACAGCUCAAAUUUGAAAUCUGGCUCCUUCGGGGCCCGAGUUGUAAUUUGCAGAGGAUGCUUCGGGUACGGGUUCCUUCCGAGUUCCCUGGAACGGGACGCCAUAGAGGGUGAGAGCCCCGUCUGGUAGGACACCCAGCCCGUGUGAAGCUCCCUCGACGAGUCGAGUAGUUUGGGAAUGCUGCUCUAACGGGAGGUAUACUCCUUCCAAGGCUAAAUACCGGCUGGAGACCGAUAGCGCACAAGUAGAGUGAUCGAAAGAUGAAAAGCACUUUGAAAAGAGAGUCAAAUAGCACGUGAAAUUGUUGAAAGGGAAGCGCUCGCUACCAGACAUGGGUUCGGCGGUUCAACCGGGGCCACGCCCCGGGGCACUCCGCCGGCCCAGGCCAGCAUCAGCUUUCCGUCGGGGGCAAAGGCGUCGGGAAUGUGGCUCUCCUUCGGGGGAGUGUUAUAGCCCGGCGUGUCAUACCCUUCGGGGGGCUGAGGUACGCGCUUCUGCAAGGAUGCUGGCGUAAUGGUAGCUAGUGACCCGUCUUGAAACACGGACCAAGGAGUCAACCUUAUGUGCGAGUGCCCGGGCGUAAAACCCCAGCGCGGAAUGAAAGUGAACGUAGGUGAGAGCUUCGGCGCAUCACCGACCGAUCCUGAUGUCCUCGGACGGAUUUGAGUGAGAGCAUAUAGGGUUGGACCCGAAAGAAGAUGAACUAUGCGUGUGUAGGGUGAAGCCAGAGGAAACUCUGGUGGAGGCUCGCAGCGGUUCUGACGUGCAAAUCG
Molecule: unclassified non-coding RNA, 793 nt
Filed under: Gibellulopsis serrae
Lineage: Eukaryota; Fungi; Ascomycota; Sordariomycetes; Glomerellales; Plectosphaerellaceae
Description: Cephalosporium serrae sequence contains 28S rRNA gene
Rfam family: Eukaryotic large subunit ribosomal RNA
Source: RNAcentral